This 497-nucleotide ribosomal RNA is filed under the name uncultured bacterium. Its description in RNAcentral is "partial 16S ribosomal RNA". It matches the Rfam family "Bacterial small subunit ribosomal RNA", at positions 28 to 507 of the family's 1533-position model. The record is from RNAcentral.
GAUGAACGCUGGCGGCGUGCCUAACACAUGCAAGUCGAGCGAAAAGACGAGGAGAUUGUUCCCUUGCCGGUAGCGGCGGGCGGGCGAGUAACGAGUGGAUCACCUACUUCUAUUUCUGGGAUAAUUUCGGGAAACAGGAGCUAAUACUACCUCAUAUAUUGAACCGCAUGGUUCAAUAGUGCUAGACGGCUUUGCUGUCACAUAUAGCUGGAUCCGCGCCGCAUUAGCUAGUUGGUAAGGUAACGGCCUACCAAGGCUACGAUGCGUAGCCGACCUGAGAGGGUGAUCGGCCACACUGGAACUGAGACACGGUCCAGACUCCUACGGGAGGCAGCAGUGGGGAAUAUUCCGCAAUGGGCGAAAGCCUGACGCAGCAACGCCGCGUGGGUGAUGAAGGUCUUCGGGUCGUAAAGCUCUGUUGUUAGGAAAGAACAGAUGUAGAAUUAUCUAUGCACGUCUUGACGGUACCUAAUCAAAAAGCCCCGGCUAACUACGUG